Ipomoea triloba (trilobed morning glory) is the source of this 230-nucleotide long non-coding RNA. RefSeq lists it as uncharacterized. The transcript has 2 exons. NCBI's taxonomy places the organism in Eukaryota, Viridiplantae, Streptophyta, Magnoliopsida, Solanales, Convolvulaceae. The record is from RefSeq and is a predicted model, not a curated record.
UCCAAUGGAUUCUUUUCCACCGGACUUUUAUCACCUUGUUCCACCCGAGAUUUCUCCACCCGACUAUCCUUCAUCCGACCCCUCCGUUCUGAAAUUUAUAGAAUCUUCAAAGAACUAUCUGGCGAGUUUACCUUUCAAGCCAUCGAAAUCAAAAUUCUGUCCCUUGCCUUGUAGCCGAUAUAAAAGAUCAAUUGACAUCAUUAGAGAGGAAAAACCUGAAGAGUACAAAA